RNAcentral lists this ribosomal RNA (555 nucleotides) under Triticum aestivum (bread wheat). RNAcentral describes it as "partial small subunit ribosomal RNA". The record is from RNAcentral. Lineage: Eukaryota; Viridiplantae; Streptophyta; Magnoliopsida; Poales; Poaceae.
AUGUGGACCCAUCUUUGUCAGCACUAUGAACCAUCUGGUGAUGCCCUAUACCUUUCUGUGGUCCGUCAGGAGCAUGCCCUUCAGCAGGGUGAUUCUACUGUUGAUGACUUCUAUGCACAGAGCUCUGCUAUCUGGCGUCAGCUUGAUUCUCUCCGCAUUGCUGGUUGUCGUACUUGCCCCUAUUGCCAGGUUGUCCAGGCCAAUUUGGAGUUUCAUCGCGUCUACGAGUUCCUGUAUCGGCUCCGUAAGGAGUUUGAGCCCCGGCUUGCUCAGUUGUUUGCUCGUGGCCGUAUUUCUCUCAUGGAGGCAUCUGAGAUUCGUGCCGAGGAGACUCGCUUACGUGGUGCUGGUUUGGUGGAGGCUCCCUCUGUGCUCGCUACUCGGUCUUAUUCCACGCCACCUGCUGCACCGACCCCCAUCCACAUUGCGACUACUGCAACAAUGAUGGUCAUAUUGAGUCCCGGUGCUACACGAAGAGGAAACACCUGCGCAAGGCGCGAUCAUCAUCUUCAGGGACUUCAUCAUCUCCCUCAACAGCUUCGGCCAUUGCUUUGA